This 468-nucleotide ribosomal RNA is filed under the name uncultured bacterium. RNAcentral describes it as "partial 16S ribosomal RNA". It matches the Rfam family "Bacterial small subunit ribosomal RNA", at positions 28 to 507 of the family's 1533-position model. The record is from RNAcentral.
GACGAACGCUGGCGGCGUGCUUAACACAUGCGAGUCGAACGGAAAGGCCCUGCUUUUGUGGGGUGCUCGAGUGGCGAACGGGUGAGUAACACGUGAGUAACCUGCCCUUGUCUUUGGGAUAACUUCAGGAAACUGGGGCUAAUACCGGAUAGGAGCUCCUGCUGCAUGGUGGGGGUUGGAAAGUUUCGGCGGUUGGGGAUGGACUCGCGGCUUAUCAGCUUGUUGGUGGGGUAGUGGCUUACCAAGGCUUUGACGGGUAGCCGGCCUGAGAGGGUGACCGGCCACAUUGGGACUGAGAUACGGCCCAGACUCCUACGGGAGGCAGCAGUGGGGAAUAUUGCACAAUGGGCGGAAGCCUGAUGCAGCAACGCCGCGUGCGGGAUGACGGCCUUCGGGUUGUAAACCGCUUUCGCCUGUGACGAAGCGUGAGUGACGGUAAUGGGUAAAGAAGCACCGGCUAACUACGUG